Molecule: unclassified non-coding RNA, 381 nt
Filed under: Hevea brasiliensis (rubber tree)
Lineage: Eukaryota; Viridiplantae; Streptophyta; Magnoliopsida; Malpighiales; Euphorbiaceae
Source: RNAcentral
CUAAUUAUAAAGCUGAUACAAAAUACAGCUAAUAGACAUCUAUCAGUUGUCUAUCAGCUAUCAGCUAUUGUUUUAAUGGUGUACAAAACACUUUAAUUCAGCUUUUUAAAUGCCUACUAGUUACUAGCUACAUCCAACAGUUAAAACAAAUAUCCCCUUAAUACUUUUGUUGCUAGAAUUUGUAUUUGUUGGCACACUCCAUCAAUGUCUGAAGGACUAAUAAUAUUGUGACAGUCUAAUCAUAUUAAGAUUUCAUAGAGUUCCAGUUUGUUUUGCAAUUGCCAAUUUCUGCUCUUUUUUAUGCUUGUAGAGGGCUAUAGUUUGGUAGACUUAAUACAAUAACAACAACAAUAAUAACAACUAACCCUUAAUCCCAAACUA